Molecule: ribosomal RNA, 401 nt
Filed under: uncultured bacterium
Lineage: Bacteria
Description: bacterial SSU rRNA
Rfam family: Bacterial small subunit ribosomal RNA
Source: RNAcentral
CUGGCCUUGACAUCCAGAGAACUUUCCAGAGAUGGAUUGGUGCCUUCGGGAACUCUGAGACAGGUGCUGCAUGGCCGUCGUCAGCUCGUGUCGUGAGAUGUUGGGUUAAGUCCCGUAACGAGCGCAACCCCUAUCCCUGGUUGCUAGCAGGUAAUGCUGAGAACUCCAGGGAGACUGCCGGUGACAAACCGGAGGAAGGUGGGGAUGACGUCAGGUCAUCAUGGCCCUUACGGCCAGGGCUACACACGUGCUACAAUGGCGCGUACAGAGGGCUGCCAACUCGCGAGAGUGAGCCAAUCCCUUAAAACGCGUCGUAGUCCGGAUCGGAGUCUGCAACUCGACUCCGUGAAGUCGGAAUCGCUAGAAAGGGCGAAUCAGAAUGUCGCGGUGAAUACGUUCCC